Callithrix jacchus (white-tufted-ear marmoset) is the source of this 8181-nucleotide non-coding RNA. Lineage: Eukaryota; Metazoa; Chordata; Mammalia; Primates; Cebidae. The record is from RefSeq and is a predicted model, not a curated record.
UAUAUAAUUUCCUUCUUUCUUCUAGAACUUUCUUGCGAAAUAGUGGAAGUUUUGGACCUAUUCUAUGCCUUUAAGUGGUUUUUUUUUUUUUGGCACCACUGUGAGCCAGGAUCAUCUCCUCAUUCCAAGGUCACUAACUAAAUCAUAUAUGCAAAGAUCUCUUUUUUCCAUCAAAAGGUUCUGGGGACAAGGACCUAGUAUCUUCGAGGAUCCUCAUUCAGUCUCAUAAGGGCCCUCUUUGCUGCUUCUGAUUCGAUACCCUGAGGCUGGAGUUGUAUCAUGUGCCAGAAGUCAUAACGUUGUCCUCAUCCAUCUGAUCCACCUUUGCUCUGCUUCCUUACGUUGUCCACUCUUUCUCCUUUUCCCCAGCCCUUUUGCUUCCUUUUUCUACCCUAUCCAUUUUUUCAAGUACUUACCUCUUUUUCCUUUUCUUUUCUAUUCCCCCUUUCUGUCCUCCUUUCUUCACCAUUUUCUUCUUUUUCCUCACUUUUACCUUCUUUCCCUUCCUUCUUUUCUUUCUGCAUUCUCUUUCCCUCUACCCCUCCUCAUCUCCUUGGUGCCUUCCCCUCCACUUUCUCCUUCCUCCUUUCCCAUCUUCCUUCCCCUUCCCUUACACCAUAGUCUUCUUCUCACAGGUUUUCUCUACCUACUAUCUCUGCAGCUCCAAUCAAACAUUCUCACCUUGAACCACAUCAGGGAAUUCUUCAUCAUUUCUGGUUCGCUGACAUUAUUUUUUGUUCUUGCUUUCUAGGAUCUUGAUUCAUUUAAUUAUGAAAAAGAAAAAUCAAUUUCUGAAGUUUGAUUAAGUUUUUUCAGGUUGGCUGGGCCUGGUGGCUCACACCCAUAAUCCCAGCAUUUUGGGAGGCUGAAGUAAGCAGCAGACUUGAGUUCAGGAGUUCCAGAGCAGUCUGGCUGACAUAGUGAAACCCUCUCUCUAAAAAAAUACAAAAAUUAGCCAGAAAUGGUGGUGCAUGCCUGUAGUCCCAGCUACACAGGAGGCUGAGGCACAAGAAUCACUUGAGCCCAGGAGGCAGAGGUUGCAGUGAGCCAAGAUCACACCACUGCACUCCAGCUUGGGAGACAGAGUGAGAUUCCAUCUCAAAAAAAAAAAAAAAAAAAAAAAGUGUUUAGAGGAAGGAAUAAUAUUCUUUACAAUUUUAAUACCUGGAAAUCCCUCUUUAUUUACAAUAUUUCUUUAGACUGAGUUCCCAUAGCAAAGACUCUCUAUAUAUUUUUUAUUUACUUAAUGCCCAGCACAUGGUGUUACUCUAACACGUUUAUGAAAUGCAUGUCAUUGUGGAUUUUGUGAAAUGAAAUGCAUAUGGUUGUUUUAACUGAUCACCCAAGUUGAUUAGACUGCCGUGUCCCAUGAAAAAAGAGGAUGCUCAGAAAGCCAGUGACUGGAUAAUAAUUUGAGGAUAAUACUCAAAUUUCUAGUAGUGCUAGUCAGUUGAACCUAAAAAUGCCAUUAACCCUUUCUCAAAGAAGCAGAUUGGAGGUGAGUAGCAGUUGUGUGGCUUCUUGGUAUGCAGCUGUUCACUUUCAAAACUUAAUUUAAAACAAUAAAAAAUGUACCUCGAAAUCAUUUUGUUUCCCUAUUUAUUUAAUGUGAUUUAUUCUAAAUGCAUUUCAUAUCACCAUAAUGUAUCAGAGCUCAACCACCACCUGUUAUUUUGUAGGGGAAAUAAACAAGACCUCUCUCAUCAGAUGAGUUAAUUACACUGACAUAUUCACUCCUCCCCAGAGAUACCAUAAACUAAAAUGCUGCAGAGCUUUAAUUCAAACAAGCAGGCUGGAAACAAGAGCUAUUGCAGUGGUAUAAUUUUCUUUGGGAGAAUCAAAAGCUCAACACAGACUUGAACUUAGAGGGCAAGAUAGCUGGAGUUGAUCAAAUGGAGUCUCGUUUAGGGUCGCAUAAUAAAUCUGUAGGUGAGUUGAGCUUGAACCCAUUUCUCAAUAUUUUGGCACUGUUUUCCAACCUUUGUGCUUCCGAACAUCAUGUGGUCAUUUUUAAAAACUUGUUUCAUCUAGCAGUUUCUCUCUCCUCUCAGGUAUUUGUCUGGGGAUGGCUGUGCAUACAGAACACCAUUAGCUCCAUGAAGAAUAUGACAGAGGUACCUGGUCCUACCUGGAUUCUUGGGCAUGCGGGAAGCAGCAGCAGUAGCCACAGUGAACUUCAUCCUAAGGAACUGUUAUGCAGACGUUGCAUGAGUCUCUUGUGGGGGUGCCAGCAGCAAAACCAAGCCUUUGUGCCUAUCUGUGGUUGUGACCCGUUGGAGAGACAUUGGGAGAUGAGAUACUGUGCUCACUCCUCACGGCUGAACCAAGGACCUGAGAUAUUCCAUUGCUAUCCUGUGAGGAGCUAUGGUGCAUUACUCACGAGUGACAGAACCAACGAGCUUCAUCUCCCAAGAGGCUGGUGCAUCUGUUUAAAAGGAGCAGGCGCUAUGCAGGGCCGCCCCCAUCAACCCCCCCAUGACGAAGUGCAGCGGGGGAAGGUAAGCUGCUUUUCAGUCACGGUGAGGAUGCAUCACGCAUUGAUUCUAUGCUCACUCUACUCCCACUCCCCAAAAGGAGAGGAUCAAGUCCAGUUGUGUUCUAGUAGCAGGACCGCAGGAGAAGAGGCAGUUAUUCAACAAAUAUGAUUAUGGAAGUCCUGGCUCUUUCCGUACCUCAGUUUCUCAGACCAGUGCAUACUGGGGCCAAGAGCUUGGGGCUUGGGAGUCAGUUGGGUGUCAUCAGUUCGAUGCAGGUUCAGCAAUUACAGUGUGUACCCUUGGGCCCCGACUUCUCGCUGAGUCUUGGUUUUCUCAUCUAAAAAGUAGGGAUAGUAAUGCUUGUUUCAUAAGGUCACAAGAGACAAGGAUUAUAAAGCACUCAGCACUUGCCAGGCAUAGAGCAUGGAUCAUUCCAGUAUUCAGAGAUAAAGAGAAGUCAACACAUUUUCCCUUUGAACCUCAAAGAACAGUUGGGAAUUGAAAUGAAAUUAUGGAUGGGAAAAUACUUGGAAAACAAAUACUUGGAAAACUUAAAAAUGCAAUAUCAGUGAAACGUAAUGAAAUCAGUGUAAAUAUCAAUGCAAACAGCUAUAGUGUUUAUUGUGCUGAUCCUAAUAAAAUAGAAACAUUAUUACACACUAUAAUUAUAGCCAGUUAGACAUGGAAGAUAAUUAGAUCUGCGUUAGUUUAAACCUUCCAUUUUAUUAGGGAAGAAACUGACUUUAGUAGCAAAACUUUCGUGAACCCCAGGCUGGUUGGUGCCCUUUUUCCACUCCCCACAAAGUUAACUUGUUUAAUGUGGCAGCAGUUAGAGCAUUGCUGCAUCAGGCGGAAGGUCUCUGACAUACAGACAUAAGCCUCGGUUUCUUCAUCUCUGAAAUGGACAUGAUAAUGAAACCCAACUUGCAGGGUCGUGAUGAAGGUCAAAUGUCUGGCAAGCAUGCCUAGCCCAUGAAAAGUCCUCCAGAAACAUACCACUACAUAUGAGUGUGGUCUGAUAACCCCAGAGAGUGGUUAAAAAAAAAAAGUCCUCCAGAAACAGUAAUUAUCAUUAUCCUUAUUAAUGGUAGUAAUUGAGAUGACGUCUGUACAUGGAUCCCUCUCAGAAUCUGACAUAAAUUGGGGGGAUAGUCAACAUAUAUUCAUUUGUGUGUUUGCUGAUAACAGUACCUCAAUGGUCCAAGAAACGUUGGUGGGGACUCUAAGUCUUCCUGAAGAAUUCUCCAUCACAUUGUCUGUUCCUGGACAUCCCAGGGGAGGACCUGGGAAGGCCAGUGGCAUCCUUUUGUAGGUUCAGAAACAAAAAGAGGUGUCUGACAGUCUAGAAUUCUGACAGGGGUAGAAUUAUACAAGCCAAAGGCCCUGAUACUAAUUUUGUUCUGGUCUUUGUAUUAGUCUGUUUUUAUGCUGCUGAUAAAGACAUACUCCAAAUUGGAUAAAUUAGAGAAAAAGAAGUUUAAUGGAGUCACAGUUCCAUGUGGCUGGGGAGGCCUCAUGAUCAUGGCAGACAGUGAAAGGUAUGUCUUACAUAGCAGCAGGCAAGAGAAAGAAUGAAUGCCAAGCGUAAGGGGUUUCCCCUUAUAAAAUCAUCAGAUCUCAUGAGAAUUAUUCACUAUCAGGAGAACAGUAUGGGGGAACUGCCCCCAUGAUUCAAUUAUCUCCCAAUGGGUUCCUCCCACAACACGUGGGAAUUAUGGGAGCUACCAAUUCAAGAUGAGAUCUGGGUGGGGACACAGCCAAACUGUAUCAGCCUUAGAGGAUCUGUGAACAUUUAGAGUGAGCAGCAAAAAUCAGUCAGAUGUUCUGAUAAUCCCAGACCAUUGGUUCUCAAAUUUUGGCCUGCAUCAGGAUCACCUGGAGAAUUGUUAAAACACAGGCUGUUGGCCCCACACCCUCUGGGGACCUGGGGUGAAGCCCUAUAUUUUGCAUUGUUUUUUUGAGACUGAGUCUUACUCUGUCACUUAGGCUGGAGUGCAGUGGCAUGAUCUUGGCUCACUGCAACCACCGCCUCCCAGGUUCAAGCCAUUCUUGUGCCUCAGCCUCCUGAAUAUCUGGGAUUACAGGUGUCCACCAUCAUGCCUGGCUAAUUUUUGUAUUUUUAGUAGAGACCAGGUUUCACCAUGUUGGCCAGGCUGGUCUCCAACUCCUGACCUCAGUUGAUCCACCCUCCUCGACCUUCCAAAGUGCUGGGAUUACAGGCGUGAGCCACCACACCCAGCCUGUAUUUUGCAUUUCUAACAAGAUCCCAGCUGAUGCUGAUGCACCUCUUCCAAAGACUGCACUUCAGAAUCAUGGUCUUGGAACGGCAUUGCUCCACUGCAGUACUGUUGAUAUUUAGGGCUGGCUCAUCCUGGGUUGUGGAGGAUACUGUUUGGGGUUUAGCAGUAUCUCUGGCCUCUGUUCACUAGAUACUGGUAGCAGUUUUGACAGUCAAAAAUGUCUCUAGACAUUGCCUAAUGUCCUCUGUGGGGCCAAACCACUCCUGGUCGAGACCCACUUCUGUAGACUGAGAUGAUUAGAAUUGAAUCCUCGUCACUUUGUGUCAUAGUGGUAUGACUGCAGUCACAGUGCUGUACCUCUCUAGGCUUCUUCAUCCAUUCACUGGGUACAGGAAUGUUAACCUCAUAAGAUCCAAGCAGAGACUAAGAGAUCCUUGCAGUAUCAACCUUAGCUAGCAAAUAGGAGAUGUGCUCAUAAAAACCGACUAUGCUUUUGUAGUCAGUCACUUCUGAGCUAAGGAUUGGGAGCUACUCACCCAGAUAACAGCUGGAUAUUAGUUCAGGAUGCCGAGAGGACCUUGUGGUUUUGGACUCCCUUGUCUGAAUGGGCAUGUUUAAAAUUAUUUUCUGGGGUUGCUUGAUCCUAGAUGAAGGUCUUCAAUCUCUCCACUCCAACCAGCAAUGAAUGCAUUCUAUAUGAAUCUGCUUUCUCUAUGAAAAUGCUUUCUAUAUGAAAACUUCUUGGAAAAAAACCCAUGGUACUAAGUAGAUCUUCUGUGGAGAGCUCAAAAGCAAUAACUCACAUGAAUUAACUGCUCAAUGUGUACAGGCACUGUGCUUAGUGUUUUCUCUUAUUAGAAUUUAAAACAACGAACUAAUCACUCACAUUUUCUUUCACAACUUUGCUCUAGAAGUGAACUUUCGAAUCUGGAGCAGUGCUGCCUUUUGAGUUCCCAAACAGCUGCUGUUCAGGAGUGAUCUAUGCUGGCACACACAGGGAUCAUGGAUUUUUCUUUGGCUGUCAGCUUUCAAAAUUACCCAGCAAUCCCAAAAUGAAUUUCCACUAAUCUGACAGUUUUGCCUCUCCUGACAUGAUGUACUGUAUAUUCAGUGGUCAGCAGGGACUAUUUAAUUGCAGUUAAGCCUGUGCUGUUCACUGUGGCAUUUAAAGUAGAGCAAUGUGUGAUGCGGCUACCCUUGCUGACUCUCCAGGCCCAGAUGGGUGGGUGGAACUCAGUUUUGGGGGGGAACUUUCUACCUGGGAACACUUAGUAAUUAAGUUUUACUGGCUAGCAGCUUUAGUUUUUUUUUACUUUGAAGAUUUAGAAAUGUUAGAAUCAAAACUAACAUAAAUCUCUCUACAAGGUAGAAAGAACUGAAAUAUUGGAUGAAUCUGAUGAUGAGUUAAAAAUGGAUUAGAAACUCAAGAAAGGAGAGAUGAACAUUUUUAGAGUGCAUACCAUAUGCUUGGCAGUUUUCAGAUGUUAUCUCACUUUUCUCUUAAAGGAUUCCAAAGACAAAGGGACAUUUCCCCCCCAUUUUAUAGAUGCAGAGACUGAGGUUUUAAAGAGAUUAAGUUAAUGCUGAAGAUCUCUGUGUGUGUGAGCAGAGCCAAGAUUAGAGCCCAGGUUUGUCUGCUAACAGUCUAGAUUCUUAUGCUCCACACUAAACUUCUCAAAAGAUGCUAGACGUCACCGGUUUUCAACUGCUUAUUUGACAGAUGGAGAAACUGAGGUAUAGACACUUCCAAGUGACUUGCUCAGAAUUAGGUUAUCCCAGACUCGGGAAAUGGGCCUGUGGGCAUUCAUAAGCCUAGUUACUAAGAAUAAUGCAGUACUUUGCCGCUUAUAAAGUGCUCUAACAUCCAUUAUCUCAUACUAAGUUUUGGGUUUCAAGCAAUUCUGUUAUAUGAACUGAUAACUCACAAAGAAAAGCAUUUCGAUAAGAGCUCUUUUUCCCACAGUUGAAUUUAAUGAUAAAUAUCUGCAGUAUAACCACAAAACCUACUGUAAGGUGCCGUUAUCACUUGAACAGCAAAGACUUAAGUGCAUUCACUUAUUCAGCAAAUAUUAUUAAGCUUGUAAUGUGUGCUAAGCAUUAUUCCAUGUGCUGAAAAUACUUAAGUGAGUAAAAUGUUUAAAAGUUCCCUACCCUAAGAGGGCUUACAUUUUAGAGGGCACAAGCAGAUGAUUGACUAAGUAAAUGAGUGAGAUAUAUAGCACGUCAGGUUAUAAGUGUGAGCCAGUGAAAUCAAGAUGGAAAGGACAGAAGGGAGCACUGGAAGCAGGGAUCAAGUAGAGAGGGUGAUGUUUGAAUGAAAACAAAAGAUAUGAAGAACAAGCUUUUUGAAUAUGUAGGGAAGAGUAUUCCGGGUAGAGGGAACAGCUAAUGCUAAGACCUUGAAGCAGUAAAUAUGUUUUUAUGUUUAAGGAACUGUAAAAAAGCCAAAUGCAUGAGAAGUUUGACUAUUUUUGUGUUAAUAUUCUUAUGGUACUUUAAAAAAAUUGGGCUGGGCAUGAGGACUCUCGUCUGUAAUCCUAGCACUUUGGGAGGCCAAGGUGGGUGGAUCACAAGGUCAGAGAUAGAGACCAUUCUGGCUAACACAGUGAAACCCAGUCUCUACUAAAAAUACAAAAAAUUACCUGGGCAUGGUAGUGGGUGCCUGUAGUCUCAGCUACUUGGGAGGCUGAGGCAGGAGAAUCGCUUGAACCCAGGAGGCAGAGAUUGCAGUGAGCCAAGAUCAUGCCACUGCACUCCAGCCUGGCGACAGAGCAAUAGUUGACAUUCAAUUAAUUGUACAUAUUAAAAUACACAAUUUGAUAAGGUUAGACAUAUGUAUACACUCCUGAAAUCACCACCACAAUCAGUAUAAUGAAUAUAUCCAUCACCCGCAGAAGUUUCCUGGAUCCCCUCUGUAAUUCUCUUCCGUUCUUCCCCAUUAUCUCCCCAGCCCCACCUCCAUGGCACUCCUGAUCUGCUUCUUUUUUUCACUAUAGCUUAGUUGGCAUUUUAGAGAAUUUUAUUCACAGAAUCUUGGAGUAUAUAUCUUUUGGUCUGGCUUCUUUUAGUCUGCAUAAUAAUUUUGAAAUUCAUGCAUGCAUGUUGUGUGUGUAAAUAACUCAUUUCUUUUACUUGCCAAGUAUUGUUUGAUUAUGUGGACAUUCUACAAUUUAUUUGUUUAUUCAUAUGUUGAUGGCGUUUGGGCCAUUUUUGGUAUGGAACUCUUGCAAACAAAGCCCUAUGAACACGUCUCUACAAGUCUUUGUGUGAACGGAUGCUUUCAUUUCUCCUGGUUAUGUACCUGGAUUGGCCUGAUGGAAUCAUAAGGUAGAUGUGUGUUUAGCAUUUUAAGAAACUGGAAAACUGUUUUCCCAAAUGCUUCCACCAGCUGCAUGUGAGGAUUCUAGUUGCUUGGCAUCAUCAUCAACACUUGGUAUGGUUAGCUUUAUAACCUUAGAUAUUUA